AAGAUUACACCAUAACCAAAGACUGAAAUAAAUCGAAAUGUCAAUUUUUAUCUGUCUUUCAAAAAUUAUUACAAAAAACUAAUUUUAAAACAGAAGAUACCUAAAAUCAAAAGCGGAUAGAACAAUAAAUAUAUCAAAAGCUAUCCCCAACAAAUUUGCGUUCAAUAUUGAAGUUGGACUUGAAAACUACAUCCCUUUAAGAUACAGUUAAAGCAAGAAUUUGAAGAAAAUAAUAACAUUUGAGAAGGACAAUAAAUUAAUCAAUAUUUACAAAGUGUUUUCUUUUUUUCAUAACAACUUUGAAAGUGCAAAAAUUUAUCGCUCACUCUGUAAUAUUAGGUACUUUGGGUAACUAAAAUUUUUUACUUUCAUUGUAGAAACGAUCCACAGAAACUGACUUAACAGAAAAAAGCGAACCUGAAAAAGAAUGCUUCAAAAAUAGAGAUCCUCCAUGGUCAGCUGAUGCAUAUUUUAAUGAAAAAUUUAUAAUUAUCAAUUCAAAUGAUUUCAUUGGAAAUUAUUUUCUGAUAUUCUUUUAUCCAUUUGAUUGUGGCGAACUGCCACAUGUUGCACCCUCCUUGGAAAUAGAAUUUUUCCAUAAACAUUUUGAAGAGCUUCAAUGAUGUAAUACUAAUGUUGUAGGCUGUUCCGUCGAUUCCAUUUAUGCUCAUAAGCUUUAUAUGAACGAGAUAUUGAAAAAAAAAAAUAAAUCUAUAGAUAAAUUAUCAUUUUCCCUAAUUGGAGAUUCUGACCUUAAGAUCUGCCAAUUGUUCAAUGUGAUACAUCCCAACUUACAACAUUCUUACAGGGCGGUGAUACUUUUCAAUUCGGAAGGGGAAAUUAUUCUAUACAACAUUCUCACUGUCAAUCAUGUAAUGGUUUUGACAAAUGUUUUCAAUUUUAUUCAUGCUCAAAAAAUUUCACGUUAGAAAAAAUUUUUAUUUAUAUUUCAAUCAUGAAAAUUGAUUGAUUAUAUUUGAUUGUUGAAAAUGUUCAUGAAUUGAGGCAAUUUUUUAAAGUUCGUUCAUUAUAAUUUUAGGUAUUGUUAAAAAUGUGUUAUUAAUAAAAUUUUUUUUUCCAAUCUGAAAAA
Long non-coding RNA from Diorhabda carinulata, 1090 nucleotides. RefSeq lists it as uncharacterized. The record is from RefSeq and is a predicted model, not a curated record. The transcript has 4 exons. NCBI's taxonomy places the organism in Eukaryota, Metazoa, Arthropoda, Insecta, Coleoptera, Chrysomelidae.